Homo sapiens (human) is the source of this 1513-nucleotide long non-coding RNA. The record is from Ensembl. NCBI's taxonomy places the organism in Eukaryota, Metazoa, Chordata, Mammalia, Primates, Hominidae.
UCUUAUAAUGGAUCUCUCAGUCACAUCAACGCCCGAGUCUAUGGUGAUGAUAAUGUUUGUGCAAAGUGGAUGCCAAGUGACUGCACAAUCAAGGUUUCUGAGUAGUUGAAAUAGAUAAGUCUUGAGUCAAUCAGUACAUCUGUACCACAUUCAUGUGGCAAAUGCUGCUUUAUGGAGAUGUUUCUAAUACUGACCUACAAUAAUUCAGCCAAGAUCACGUUUCUACUGUCUUCAGGAAAUGAGAAAAAUGAAUCCAGGAAAUUUCCAUCUUUAACUAUACUCUGUAAAUGUGCUGUCCAAUACACAGAUAGCUACUGAGCACUGGAAUAUAGCUAGUCUGAAUGGAGAUGUUCUCUGCCCAGUUCUCCUCCUUCAGUGGAACCAGCUAUUGUUCCUUCCAAGGUUCUUGUGUAUUGCUUCAAAGGCACCCAGAGAAACUAUUUGGUGUAAGAAGAGAAUACAAUAUUAAGGCAUGAUGAAUACAAAGAAGAUUUCUAUUUUUAAGAGGGAGGUAUUGACUUUCAUCUGCAUCUUGAUUUAAUUUUUGUUCUGGAAAACAAAGGUCUCCAUAGGAAUUAGUAGUGAACCUCUAGAAAUACACUGGAUGAAGACCGCUAAGCCAGUGCUACUCAAAAUGUGAUUCAUAGCCUGAUACCUGCUUCUGAACUGAUACUGGAUCGCAAUAAGAAGGACGUGUUUGCUUCCCCUUCUGCCGUGACUGUAAGUUUCCUGAGGCCUCCCCAGCCCUGCAGAACUAUAUCUGUCCAUCGAAUCCUGACAGCAGAUUCUUCAGCUCCAGUCUUUAUGAAGAGGACAAAUGGAUUUGAGUAGAGAAAUAACGAGAUGAAAGACAAAUCAGACUGUACAGAAAUCCCUUAAAUGCUCUGAUCUCCAGUUCCAGUAUCUGAACAAAAGGAUAGUGAUACCUGAGGAUUUGUGAGGCUUAAAUGAGAUCCAUUUGGAGUUCUUUCUGAUGCAUUAUGUGAGGGGGUACAUGUGCAGUUUAUGUGAUUACACUGCAUGAUGCUGAGAAUGGGGUAUGGAUCCUGUCACGCAGAUAUUUUGGAUACAUCUGGAAUUGACUUUUUUGCAUGGUGUAAGAAAUAACAGUUCUUCCUGGAUCAGCCCUCUCCCGUCUGUCAUCUCCAACAGAUACAAAGCCAGCUUUAAGAAGACCAAACCUACAAAAAUCAUUCAUGCUUUCUGCCUCCAUGUUUUUCUUUCCAACCUAGUUCCUCCAGAAAAUGUAAAAGAGCAACCGAACCGUCAACUGGUACAAUGACUUCUACACAUCAGACCUCGGCCACGCCACAGUCAUCAGAUUAUUCUAUCACAGGGUCUCUCAACCGUGGAAUAUGGUCUCCAAGGGAAACAAGCCACAGAGGGCUCAGGAGCAUUGCUAUAAAGAGUAGGCAAAUGGAAAUCUUUCCCCAAAGGGCACACUGGGAUUGUUAGGCGAGGGCUGCUCAAUCCAUUAAAAGUUUAAACUCGAAAAAAAAAAAGAAAAAAAAAA